This is a long non-coding RNA of Etheostoma spectabile (orangethroat darter), 1090 nucleotides long. RefSeq lists it as uncharacterized. The record is from RefSeq and is a predicted model, not a curated record. Lineage: Eukaryota; Metazoa; Chordata; Actinopteri; Perciformes; Percidae. The transcript has 4 exons.
AGUACGUAGUGCACGAAGUGUACUGUCUGGAAGUGCACUAAGGGAAGUGCGCGAUUUGGAACACACUAUUAGUAUCCCAGAAGAUGAAAGAUACAUUCCAUUAUCGGCAAAAGAUGCUCCAUGACCCACAGCAAACGGCAGACAUACUUCAAAUGUUUCCUCGUUUUUUGGACACUAAGGGAGUGAUUUUGCAAGACUUCUUGAUGAUGUUUGGAGCAGAGACUGCUUCCAGGUUCCUGGAAAAAUGGAACACCAGUUUUAAAGACAAAGUCAUUCAGAGAGACGUCUCUCCUGAGAAAACAGCUGAAAUCUGCCCUGAAUGAAGAAUCUGACACUGCUGACGGGCCAGAGUGGGACAGCGACAUGGCAUCUCUUCUUGUAUUGCUCCAUCUGCUAACCCUCAACCAGCUGGAAGGAAGCGGCCCAGAAAGAUCAGUGUUGGAGAGGCAGCUGAUCAUUUGGUUAAAUUUCACAAGUCAUGCCACAGUCUUGAAGAACACCUCAUGACGAUCGAAGGAAACCCCCAGCCGUAUCUGCUGGCCACAGGGACCUCAAAAGCACAGGUUUUCAGCUUCUACACAGUCUUGGAUAGAAAGCUUCUUCCAUGUCAGUCUUCUACAUCCCUGGGCGCAUUUGAUGAGCUGUUCAAGUCCCACUUUGUUUUCAGUGUGCAAUAUGAUGAUGCUCUGUCGAGCUUGUACAGAUUCCUGCAGACUACUCUGUACAAUAUCGACAUAGGGACAACAGAAGAAACUCCAAGAGUCAAAGAGUUAAGAGCAAAGCUGUUAAACAAGCGGUAAUUUGCUAAAGCAGCAAACAUGUUCAGAUGUGGCCUUUGUGCUUCUUCCUUUGAGACAGCUUUACUUCUGUUCAGGCACCUCAAACUAAUUCAUGCAAUGUACCCUGGAAAAAAAUUUGAGACUAAAAUGUGGUCAAAUAGGAUGUUGCUAAGUUAUUCUGGAUUUAGAAGACAUCUAAUUAAGGUACAUGAUCCUACUGACAACACAUAUGUACCUCAUGAAAACCUCUUCCAACUGUGACACUCAACUGUACAAUCCUCCUCAGUGCUUGAAUGAUGAAACACCCUCUA